GAUGAACGCUUUCUACAGGCUUAACACAUGCAAGUCGCGGGGUAACAUCUGGGAGAGCUUGCUCUUCCAGGAUGACGACCGGCGCACGGGUGAGUAACGCGUAUCCAACCUGGCCCAUACCACGGGAUAGCCCGUCGAAAGGCGGAUUAAUACCGUAUGCUGUCAUCAAGAUGCAUAUAUUGAUGACGAAAGGACUGGCGGUAUGGGAUGGGGAUGCGUCUGAUUAGCUUGUUGGCGGGGUAACGGCCCACCAAGGCGACGAUCAGUAGGGGUUCUGAGAGGAAGGUCCCCCACAUUGGAACUGAGACACGGUCCAAACUCCUACGGGAGGCAGCAGUGAGGAAUAUUGGUCAAUGGGCGCAAGCCUGAACCAGCCAAGUAGCGUGAGGGAAGACUGCCCUACGGGUUGUAAACCUCUUUUGUUUGGGAAUAAAGUGCGGGACGUGUCCCGCAUUGCAUGUACCAUUUGAAUAAGGACCGGCUAAUUCCGUGCCAGCAGCCGCGGUAAUACGGAAGGUCCGGGCGUUAUCCGGAUUUAUUGGGUUUAAAGGGAGCGCAGGCCGUGGGUUAAGCGUGUCGUGAAAUUCCGUCGCUCAACGGCGGACGUGCGGCGCGAACUGGUCCACUUGAGUACGCGGGACGUUGGCGGAAUUCGUGGUGUAGCGGUGAAAUGCUUAGAUAUCACGAAGAACUCCGAUUGCGAAGGCAGCUGACGGUAGCGCAACUGACGCUGAGGCUCGAAAGUGCGGGUAUCGAACAGG
This 761-nucleotide ribosomal RNA is filed under the name uncultured bacterium. Its description in RNAcentral is "bacterial SSU rRNA". It matches the Rfam family "Bacterial small subunit ribosomal RNA", at positions 28 to 776 of the family's 1533-position model. The record is from RNAcentral.